AUCAGGCAAGCAACACUUAGGAUUUGGAGGCAAAGCCAUCUUGUGCUCCAUUUUGGUAUCUUCUUCUGUGAAAUAUACAUCUCAACAGGGAAGUAAACGGUCAAUGGCCAAAAUCCCAAAGCCCCAAGGAGGCCAACUAUGUCGUUAAAGAAGGGAAGGAGCAUUGAAAUCACAGUGGUUGUAACCACAAAGAGUGUCCUCCAAAUCAUUCUGAAGAGGUUGAGAUUGUAU
Molecule: long non-coding RNA, 231 nt
Filed under: Populus trichocarpa (black cottonwood)
Lineage: Eukaryota; Viridiplantae; Streptophyta; Magnoliopsida; Malpighiales; Salicaceae
Description: long non-coding RNA (PTRI_LNC000589)
Source: RNAcentral